UCACCAUUAGAUCGAACACCUAAUAAAACAGCACCAACUGUCAACAGAACCACUGCAUUGAUAGAGUAGGGUGUGAAUUUUAGCUUCACUAUGAAGAAAGCACCUAUUGCCGUGAAGGCAAGUUGAGCAGCAAGAAGAAGUGAAGAGGUUGAUACGGGAAGUUUUGAUCCGCCCCACGAAUAGAGAAAAUCAUCAACACCGGUGACAAUGCCAAUAAUGAAUGAUGCAAUGAAAAUUCGGGGUGUUAUAAAGCAUAACUUGGCACUAGAACCUUCAGUUUUUCGGCGAUAGAAGUAUAGAAUGGCAAGAGGUAUAAGGGUGAAUGGCCAUCCAGCAGUUUGUAACCAACUGCUAAACCAUACUCUUGAACCUCCCUCGACAUAAUAAAGACGCAUCAUUAGAGGACCACCGCAGAUACCAACAGCAAGUACUAAACAGUUAAUGAGCAGGAGGAUUUUCCUCAUAGUGGUGUUUAAUCCAUGAUGUUCCAUACUUUUUUUCAAGUGAUUUGGAUACUAAAUUGGAGUAGUAUGCUGCUUAGGCUGAAUGGUCUUCUUCUUCUACUAAUGUUUGGAUUUUUGGAUCUCUUGCAGUGAUAGAUCUGCAGCCUGUGCCUAUUUAUAAUUGAGAAACAUUUUAGUCAUUCCCAUGAUUUGUUUCACGACAUGGAGUGACCCCACUUUAAGAAGGCUUUCUUAUGAUUUAAUUAAUUAUGGUACUAGUAAUUUUCACAUGAUUCACAAGGGGAGGACAUAACAAUAAAAAAAUAAGUAUUAGAGCAAAGACCUAAAAAGCAAUGAUUGUGAGUAGUUUUGUUAUUAAAUUGCAGCGUUGAAUUUCUAGGGAAAACUAAUAGCCCACCAUGGACUGUGCCGUGUAAAUAGCCUUGACUAUUCUAACUGUUAGCGUUGAAUUUUGCAUUUGCACUUGUGAAGACAAAAAUAUGGGUUAAAUUUAACAACGAUGGACAAACGUGUUUUAGUUAAGAAUUGAAUAAUUAUUAGUGGGUCGGUAGAAUUUUGCAUUUCCACUUGCCAACAAUAAUAGCUUGUCUUAUAUCAAAAGAUUCCCUCCGUUUUGGCUAUGUGCACUUUUUAAUAAAUGUCAGACAUGUUUACAACACGAUCAAUAAAAAUAGAGAAAUUAAGAAAAAGAAAAUCAAAGUUGGAUGGCGUCAUAGUUUUUUGUUUAUUCAUCACCAGACUGUUUAGACUCAGCUGAUCAGCAAUGUUGUACCUUUGAAAAUAUUAGCUAAGUAUUGUGACACAUAUUAGUGAAUUUUGAAAUAAUUUUUUAUAUAAUUUAAUAGAGAUAGAGGAGUUAUUUUUUUUUAUGUAUUUCCAUACAAAAUGAUUCUAUCUUGGCUACAUUACAAAUAAAAAACAGUUUUAAUUGAAUUAGAGCUUAAUUAGAUGAAUUAUAUGAUUUUCUUUUAAAAUGAUGAAAAAGAAAAGAGCAUUAGAGUAAAUUUUUUAUUUAUAGACAUACGAAUAUACAUAGUUUGAAUACAUGAUUCUCUAAGUGUAGCAUAUACUAAAUAUAUAUAUUUUGGAAAAUGGCUAGAACUGACCCUGAACUAUAGUUUCAGGGUUAAAAAUACCCUCCAUCCACCUAUUGAGCCAUUGGUAUUCCUAACGUUAUUUUCCUGGCUUUUACAUGUCACUCCAACUAACGGCUCAUAUCUAAAAAAAGAAAGAAAGUUUAAUUACUAAUUACGUUGCAAUUUCUCAUUGCCCUAUAUUAAAACAAAAGACCCCUUUUACAUAUCCGGUCUGGUGAAUCUUACCCGCCCCAAAAAAAACCACCCGCUCCGACCUAUAAACAAAUAACCUAAAUAAAACACUGAUUGUAUCUUAUCUGUUAGCCAUCGUUCUUCUCUCCUCUUUGCAGACCAAAAUUCCCCAUCUCUCACCUCUCAAAUUGAAUUCUCAAAUUCAACAAAAUCAAGUUGGAGUCCUCUAUAAUGUCGAAAUCUUCUACUUCUUUUCGUGAAUCAGGUCAGUCCCGCAUAAGUUUUUGCGGAUUGACUGCUAACCAGUUUACUGCUACGCCGCCUAUGAAUGGUGGUCGUACAUUCUUCAAAUGUCCUCGUCCUGAAGACAUUGUUUGUCGUUAUUUGGAAUGUUGCGAUGAAGAUCUUCCGCCCCAUGUGUCAAUGUUUAUCCAUACUCAAAAGAUUUCAUUGAAUGCCCUUCAUAAAGAAAGGAACAGUUUGAAGAAGACCUUAGAUAAAUUCUUAGGUAGUAAUACUGCAGAUAUGAACAAAGUGAUUUGCUUGGAGAAGAAAGUGUCGAAUUUGGAAUCAAAUUUGAAACGAUGAAAAAAAAAUUUGUUGUUGUCAUGGGCAUCUUUUUGUUUGUUUUGUAUCCUUGAUGACCAUGUGCUGAAAUUGAAAUUGCAUUUUCUUUUGUUGUAUUACGUUAAUGGCUGGGUCAAAUGAAGUUGUGUGGCUGUUAAAUGUUAGUUGGUAUCCAGUUUUAACAACUUUGUUGUUGUGGAUGUAAUAGAAAUAUUUGCAGGUGCACUGCAAUGUACCCAACUCAGUUAGUUUUUUGUUUGUCAAUGAACAAAUAUGCAAUUUUUGUAGUAAUUCUUGUUGUGUUCAAUCAAGAAUUUUGACUAUUGUCCAUUAUAAUCUCUCUGUCUUUUUUUUUUUGGAUCAUCUGUUUUUGGUUUUUGAUACACUAAGGCAUAUGAAUAGAUAGGAAAUAUUAUAAAGUCAUUGGAAUUGCACUUCAAACAUACGUGAAGUGUACUAAAAACACUAUGCAACAACCACAUAAGAGAUUCAUCAAAGAUAGAUAAUUAGAGGACAUAAGACAUGAUAAUUAACAACCAUAAAGACUUAUGAAUGUUGUUACAUUGUUUCACCACAAAUUAAGCCCAUCAAAAAUAAUUUGGAUUGAAUCAACACAACACCAUUCAUAACUGAUUCACCACAAAAUAACAAAAAAAUGUGAAGUUUGAAUUAGUCAUUACAAAACAUUCAAGGAUCUAAAUGAAGUGGCUGCUACUUAGAGGAAGUUUUAGCUCUCUUAGCCUUUAGCUUUCCAACUCUUGCUUCCUUUUCGGCUAUCAAUUGGUUAGGAGUCACAGCUGUUUUACCUUUCCAAGUCACCUUUUUGGGUUAAUAGGGUAGAUUAGUUGGCAAUUUACACCAGUUUCAUCUCCCUUAAAACUAAUAUUCCUGGUAUCAGUAGGUAUUUGGUGCAACUUUCUUUGUUGAAGCAUAGUCCAAGCUUCAGAUAUCAGCACUGGCCUCAAAUCCGGAUCUUCAUCAUCAUCUCCAUCUCCAGUAACAUCAUCAAUAUCAUCUUCAUCUACUAGUAUAUUUGAAGGUGUAGCAGCUUGUUUACUUGUCUUCUUAGUUGCAGAAGGUUUGUGUUGAGUAGCUUUGUUUGGUUGACUGGUUUGUUGAGCAGAUUUUUUUGCUUGACUGGUUUGUUGGGUAGAUUUCUUUGCUUGAAUAGGCAGUUGAGCUGGUGGUUCACUAAAAGAAACAUUGUAUCCAAGGGUAUGCAUGAAGGCAAAAUAUGAAUUUUGAUUGUCUUCAGGUGCUGUCAAGGGCACAUCUUCCACUGUUUGAGAACAUUCUCCUUAGAACAAAUGCUUGUGCUUACCAUGAACCUACAAGACAUAAAACAUAUGUUUACUAUGGAACUAAAAUUGUUCAACUACAAACAAAUUUUAGUAAGGAAUAAAAGAUUACCAAUGGACAAGUUCUAAUAUUGUGACCAGGUUCACUACAGUACUCACAUGAAAGUAGUCUUUUCCUUGAAGCAGAACAUAACCCCUCUCUCUUCCUAGCAUCAUCCUUUUCUCUUGUUCUCUUUUUGGUCUACCAACCAUUUUGCUCCAUAGUGUAGCCAUGUAAUUUUUGACUCUCCCCAAGAUUUUUUAUAUUUUAGCAUGUAAAUAUUUAAUUUAGGCCUAAUAUCGCUAUUUCAACUAAUUUUGACUCUUUUACUUUAUUUUAUUACAAGAAAAUGAAAAUUACAAAAAAUAGUUUUAUUAAUGUUUUGCAGUCAUUUUUAAUCUUGAAAAAUACAAAAAAUAGUUUUGUUUUAACGGUCAGUCUUAUUUUAAUAGUUAUUUUACUUAAGUAGGAUUAAUUAAUAAAUGAGAUCGUAUUUUUAGUCUCGUUCGCAUUGAAAGAAUAAAAUUUGGGCUCAAACGGCCUAUUUUUAAGCCUAAUUUUCGGAUCUAAUCCAUAAUUCUCAAGCCUAUAAUUCCUAGACUCAUACCCCUUAACCUAAAAACCCCAACAAAGACCUGUAUCCCUACGCUCUACAAUCAGCCGAAAAGGACAACAAAAAAAUGGACCUAGAUGCCUAACACACAAGGAGCGCCGUUUUCAUCCUAAAACCCCACCCUGAAGAUUGUCUUCUUCACCACCCCCCAAGCAAACAAGACCAGUCGCUGAACACUGUCUUAUUUCGUUUCACCUAUUACGGAGAGUUAAAUCCUAUUUUUUCUUCUUGAAUUACUGAGUUACAAAACUUAAUCGGAUUUUAAGAUAUAAGAUAUUGUAACUAUUUGGAAAAUCAGAAAUCAAACACUGAAAUCUAGAUUGUUUGACUAGGACUUAUGGCCUAGUGGUAAUACUGGACUCUUCAUAUGAGCAUUCAAAUUAGCACCUUCCAUUAGCUGUUUUUUAGCACGUUCGUGACCGCCCCCCAGUCGCUAAACCAGCCACCACAGUUCGCCGGAAACCACCUAACCAGACCGGCGAGCUAUCAGAAGUAGGCGAAAAUCCAAUAGAAGCUUUGAGCAGAAAAUUCCUAGAGUUUUCCGGCGCCGUCGAGGUUCGAUUUGAAAUCGUUGCUCUUUGAUUCCGAUUUGAGGUUGAGUUUCAAUUUGUUCAAAGGUCCGUUCCCUUUUUGCUAGUAUCCGUGAUGUUUAUGGUCAUGAUUAAGUCGCAAUUCUUUAAAUUGUAUAUUUCUCGUUAGCUUUGUUGAGUAUGAAUUUUAUUGUAAUACUUUGUGCCUACUUGUUUUGGAGGAUUUGUUGGUUUAAAUUCCAUUAUCAAUUUGUUGGAUUGUUGAGAAUUCUGAACUUGUAGCAAUUUUGUGUGAAAAUUUUGUAUGUAGCUGCUAUUGUGAGUUUGUGGAUGAGAAAUGGACGUGACCUCCAUAGUUAUUCUCGGAAAAAUUCAAAGCUGUGACUAAUAUUAAAAACGAGUGGAUUUUUUUGGAGCUUAUUUGAUCCUGUUGAUGUUAUCUUAGUAUGUCAAUUUUAUGGGUUCAUAGAAUUUCUGUUGGUAUGUCUUUAAUUUUAUAAUUUAGAUACAAUUCAUAAAUAUUCGUAGAAAAGUUUUUAGGCGUGUUUAAUAUACCAUCGUGAUUGCGUACACGUUCGCGUGACAUGAUUGCGAUUUUUAAAAACAAAACCAAAGUAUGCGUUCGCACAACUUCGACCAAACUUUCUUAAUAAUAAUAAAGCGUUAUUAAUUGUGGACACGUUCGCGUGACAUGAUUUUUGACGCACCAAACAAAUGGGUACACGUACGCGUGACCCGUUGCAAGAUAAUUUCUUAAUUAAAAGAGGCAAAUGCACAUAGGUUCUUAAACAUGUAAUUAGACAAUUUGAUUUAGCCAAGUAUGAUUAAGGCGACCGUGUUAAAACCACGGAACCCGGGAAUGCCUAAUACCUUCUUCCGGGUUAACAUAAUUCCUUGCCCGGAUUUCUGUAUUCGCAGACCGUGAUUAGAGUCAAACUUCCUCGAUUCAGAAUUUUAAACCGGUGACUUGGGACACCAUAAAUUAUCCCAAGUGGCGAUCUGAAUUUUAAUAAAUAAUCAUGUUUCGAUUGUCACUUAAAUUAGAAAAAACUCCCUAAUACUCUUUCCGGGGUAGGAAAAAGGAGGUGUGACACAUAGCAUGUUCUGGCUCAAUUUUCCAGAAUUAAUCACCUCUAAUAGGUUGUAUCUUAUGCAUAUAUACCAUCAUGUAAGCUUCUUUGGAAUACCACAAAUGCACCUCACUUAAAGGAUCAAGCUUUUUAUGGAGUAAAGCUUUGAUGGCAUGAGGGCAUGGUAUUCCAGUUAAGUCCCAUGCCCUGCAUGUACAUCUCUUCAAUUCCAGGUUCACUGCAUGCUUGUCUGGACCUUCAAUCACUUCAUAUCCAAAAUCUCCAUUAGAGUCAACUUCACAUUCUGCAGCAAUAACUCUAUAAUUACUAUAUAAUUCCAUGGCAUAUGGGUUGAUGUCUCCUUUCCAGUUUCUACACUCUUCUUCACGAUUUUUUACAAGUUCAUCACCUUCCAAUAAGAAGUUCAAAUGAAAACAGUUAAGAAGUAAAAAAAAAUAGCUAACAGGUGAAACAAAUAUUUAACAAAUGAAAGAAACGGUCAAGCAAAUGAAAGAAACAAAUAAGAAGUGGAAAAAUAGUUAACAGAUGAAAGAAAUAGUUAAACAUCAAAUUUUUACCUUAACUCUAAUCUCUUCCAGCAUCUUGAUUAUAGGAUUUUGUCUUGCCUCUAAAGUCCAUUUGUUGAAAGAUUCUGUAAAGUUAUUGUCCACCAUGUUGUUCUUGCAAAUGGUGUCAAAGUAUGCUCUACACCAAUUUUGGGGUGGAUAUCCUACUAAGGUCUUAGCAGCUUCUUCAGUCACAUCACCCAUGGACUUCAAAUGAUUUUUAAAUUCUUCUUCAUAUGUGCUCCAAGCACAGCACCACAACAACUUCUUUAACUCCAAACCCCUCCACUUCUUGCUCCAAUUAGCUUCUAUAUGCCUAACACACCUUCUGUGAUUUGCACUGGGAAGCAUAGUAGAAGCAACAUCAAGCAGACCCUAAAAAAAAUGAAAACAAGCAGUUAAACAUAUAGUCAAACUAGUACAAAGAAACAUGUGGAUAAAAACAGUUAGCUAUUACCUUUUGCAUAUCGGACAUAAAUGUCACUCCUUCACCCUCUUGUAAAUCCGAGGAACUUCUUAGCAACUCUAGAAACCACUUCCAAGUCCUACCAGUUUCUUUAUCAACCACUGCCCAAGCCAGGGGAUGAAUGUGUUUCACUGAAUUUUGUGCCAUAGUAACAAGUAAUAUUCCCUUACACUUUCCAUUUUAAAAAGUGCCAUCCAAACCUAUUAAAGGUCUCAAUCCUCCUUUCCGACCAUUUUUCAAAGUAUGGAAGCAAAUAUACAUUCUGAGAAAUUUUCUUUUUCCUUGUUCCAAAGUAUCUUUGGAUAUGUUUAUCACCACAUCAAAUCCAGGAUUGCUAUCCCUCAACUCUUGAGCAUAAGCCUCUAAUCUGUUGUAAUCAUCAAUGUAGCUAUCCUCUAAUUUUUCUAACACAAGUCAUUUAACCCUCUUCAUUGUAGAAUAGCUAACAUUAAGUUUGAAUUGAUACUCCAGAUCCAUUUUCAUGUAUUUUAAUUUAUACUUUGGAUUAUUUUGAACAUUGUUCUUGAAACAGUGUGCUAAAGUAUUUACAGUAGCUCUUCUAUUUUUAUAAGCUGGGUCAUAGUUAUGUUCCAAGUUUAAGGUCUUUAUUUUAAAUCCCUGAUUUUUGAUCCUUGGAUAUAUGGCGCCCAAAAGGACAUCCUAUGUCACAUUUAUAUCUCACCCUAGUAGUGUCACUCUUCUUUACUUUAAUGCUCAUUCUAGUAGCAACUGCACAAAAUCCCACAACUCUUUUAGCUUCAGCCAAGCUUUUAAAACUCAUUCCCUUUUCUAGUUCUUUGUAUUUUUCUAGUUUUUUAUUUACUUCUUUAGUCAUUUCCUUCCUGAAAAGUUCCAACUGUUCAUUAUCAUAAUCAGUAGAAUCAGUUUUGCUAGCAACCUCUUCAUCAGAGGAGUCACAAUCAGUACCAAUUUCUAAUGUGCCAAUAUUUUGUUCAUUAUACUGAAUAAUGUUAGGAGCUAUUACUUGUUCUUCACCUUCACGUACAACAAAUAACUGAACCACAUUGAACUUGGCAGAUAGUAUAGAUAUUAAUUUUCUAAUGCCCUCAUCACCCUCAACCACAUAGUAUAUAUGUAACAACCCGACUGAUCGCUUUGCUUUUUAGAACCCUGUUCCUUUAAAUAAAACUUCUCACGCUUGCUUUAACUAAUUUACGCCCUGCGGGGAUGGUUGGUUUGAGAUUUGGAAGAGCUUGGGUUGAAAUAUACUCAUUUGAUUCCUUAAAAUUUUCUUAAAAGGCUAAAUUUGACUUUGGUCAAUAUUUUUAGCAAACGGACCCGAAUUUGUAUAUUGACGGUCCUGGAGGUGUCUAGGAAAAUAUGGGCCUGGACGUAUGCCCGGAAUCGAAUUCCGAGGUCCCUAACCCGAGUAAUGAAUUUUAUUAGAAAUUGUUAAACUGAAAUUCUUAGGAUUUAAAGAAACUAAUAAAUGAUUGAUCAUGUUGGUAUCGGGCUCGUAUGUUGGUUCCGGAGCCUAGUACAGGUCCAAUAUAACAUUUAAGACCUACCCACAAAUUUUGAUGUCAAUUCUAGUAGUAUAAGUACGUUUCGGCACAUUAGAAGUAAAUUUAAGAACUUGAAGUUCAUAAGUUUUAUUCAAUUGGUUUGAGGGGAUGAUUCAUAGAUUUAACGUUGUUUCGGGUGUUCCGAAGGUUCGAGCGACUCCAUUUCAUGAUUUCAGACUUGUCAGUAUGUUCGGGUGGGGCUUAGGAGCCCUGAGUCGGACGAGGCUCGAGUGAAGUUGGAAAAGUUGAAAAGGACUGAAGCAUCUGGUAUUUGUCAUAACCGCACCUGCAGUUGGUCAGCCGCAGGUGCAAGACCGCAGAAGCGGUCGCCCUAUCGCAGAUGCGACCAAGGCAGGCCUGGCCAGAAACUGCAAGAGAGGCUUCCAGACUGCAGAAGCGGUCCCAGCCCGCUUGGCCAAUACUGCAGAUGCGGUCUCUUCCUCGCAGGCGGUACCGCAGAUGCGGUCCCCUGACCGUAGAUGCAAAAAUCACUGAAGUAGUGAGCUUCAUUUAAUACGGGUUCUAAGUCACUUUUGCCACUUUUCACUCCUCCAUUGACGAUUUUGGGAGCUUUUGAGAGAAGACUUCCACCUAGCACCUUGAGGUAAGUUUAUCCCACUUAUUCCUAGAUUCUAAUAAUUGUGUCUUAAUUUUUAACCCACACAAUUGAGCUAGAAGGAGUUAACAGAGGUAACAACAAUACUAGAAAUACUCUCGGCGCAUCUUAGCGUGAUAUACUAAAGUACGCCAUCAGCCAUGGGAGGAAGAGGCAGACCUAAGAAAAAUGUAACGAAGAUUUAAUUAGGUGAAUUCAUAGCAUCAACAAGAAGGAAUGGUGAUUCAAGCAAGGCCACGCCAGUUCAAGGAAAUCAAAAUCGCGAAAAGGAGAUGAUUACACCAAAGGUGGGGGAGAAUUCAAAAUCGGCGACGACGAGUAUAUAUAGAAACUUGAAUUCACAAUACAUGACCAAACAAGCUGAAAUUCAACAGAUCGAGGUACAAAAUUCGAAUAAUAUGGGUAGUAAAAAGGCUGAAGAAACACAUGCAGCUGAAUCUCACAGUGAGAAGCAACCAACUGUAAUUGAAGCUAGUACAGAGAAGGCUAAGGAUGGAAAAUCCUGGGCAAAUCUGGUUGCUAGGAACACCUUUGCUGCUAGAGGAAUGGGACUAUCAUUUGUAGCACCUGUAAUUCAAAAUAGGGAAAAAAUUAUUGAAUUGCAACAGGAUGAAAUUGAAAAGGAAAUUGAGAAGUGGAAAAUGGCAGUUAUUUUGUAUGUAGUUGGAGAUACGCCAAGUAUUGGAGCUAUAGAGAGGUUCAUUGCAUCACAAUGGAACUUCGUAUCUAGGCCGAAAGUGUAUUAUCAUAACGACGGUUUCUUUGUGGUAAAAUUCAGAAAUGUAGAAGAGAGAAAUGAGGUCCUAUACUCAGGGUCAUGCACAAUCAACAAUAAGCCAAUAAUUACUAAGGCGUGGACAACAGACUUUGAUUUCAAUGAAGAGGUUCUGAAAACAUUGCCAUUGUGGGUUAAACUACCAAAUUUGCCAUUGAAUUGUUGGGGAAUGGACUCAUUGAGUCGGAUAGGGAGUGGAUUAGGAAUCCCAGUAUAUGCCGAUGAGUGUACAACAAAAGUAGAAAGGAUAUCCUAUGCUAGAAUUCUUGUGGAAAUUGACAUCACAAAACCAUUGCCAACAAGAAUACUAGUUAAGGAUCUGAGCGGCAGGUAAUUUGAACAACCUGUUACUUAUGACUGGAAGCCUAUGUACUGUAACAAUUGCUUGCAACUAGGACAUAAUUGUCAAGUCAAACAAACACAAUAACAGAUGAAUAAGCAGCAAAAACAGAAGCAGGAAUGGAAACCAAAGGAGCAGGGGAAUCAAUGCCUUACAAAAGAUGAGAAUCAAACAUCAGCAGGGAAUAACAAAAAGCACAAUACGCAGGAAACAACAACUGAGGAGGAUGAAGGGUGGCAAGCAGCAAAGGGGAAAUCAGCCAAAAAAAACACUCAAACAGCAUCAACAAGAGGAGUUGAAGUGGGUAAUGGAUUUAAUGUUCUUAAUUACUCAUUCUCUACUACACAGAGUAAUAUGAUAAAGAAGGUUGAUAGAGGACAAUGUAGUCAUGGGGGAGGUAUGAAGGAAGGGAUACCAUAUAAUAUAUUUAAAUGAAGUUAGUCAGUUGGAAUGUUAGAGGGCUAAAUAAAGUGUAUAAGCAAAAGGAGAUGCAGAGCUAUAUUAAAUUAACAUCAUAUUAGUAUUAUGGCUAUUAUAGAACAUAGAGUACAAGAAAAGUUUUCACAAAAAAUCAUACAAAAAAUAUCUCCUACAUGGGAAUGGUAUGCAAACUAUGAUGGUGGAGGGAAGGGUAGAGUAUGAGUUAUCUGGGAUCCAAAUGAAAUCAGAUUCACUGUGAAGGAAGCAAAAACUCAGUACAUUCAUGGAGAAGUAGUUCAGUUGGAUACAAAAUUUAGAAUUUACAUUUACAGCCAUCUAUGGGCUGCAUACAAUAGAGGCAAGGAAAUGUUUAUGAAGGGGCUUAAUAAACUGGAGCCAAUAUCAGACAAAGCCUUGGCUAUGCAUGGGUGACUACAAUACUAUUCUGGCAGUGGAAGAUAGAAUAAAUGGUAGCUCAGUACAAGAAAAUGAAAUUAAAGACUUCAAAGAAUUCCUAAUAAAUACAGGAAUAUGUGAGAUGAGAACAGUGGGAAGGGACUACACAUGGACUAAUUCACAUGUGUUCAGUAGAAUAGACAGGGCAAUAGUAAAUGCAGAAUGGGUAAAUAACAUGCCACAAGUAGGUGCUAUGAUUAUGGAUCCUCUCUUCUCGGAUCAUUCCCCUUUAUGUGUUAAGCUUGGAGAAGAACCAAAGGCCUCAAAGCUAUUUAGAUUCUUCAACUGUCUGGCUGAACACAAGGAUUUCCUUCCAAUAGUGACAGAAGCAUGGAAUAAAUCAUCACAAGCAAGGAAUAUGGCAGGAAUCUGGAGGAAAUUGAAAGAUGUUAGAAGAGAAUUAAAAGGGCUGAAUACAAAUGAAUUCCAAGUAGUAGACUUGAGGGUCAAAAAUGCUAGACAAAACCUACAGGAAGUUCAGCAACAGAUGAGAACUACAAGCAUAUCAUUACAGAAGUUUAAGAAGAGAAAGAACUGAAAAAGCAGCUAGUGAAAUGGGCUACUAUAGAAGAAAGCAUCUAUAAACAGGAAUCUAGAAAUCAGUGGCUGAAGUUGGGAGAUUCUAAUACUGCUUUCUUCUUUGCCAGCAUAAAGAACAGAAUAAUCCACAAUAAGAUCAGGAGCUUGAAGACUAAUGAUGGAGAAAUAAUUUAGUCUGAGAAUGCAAUAGAAAAAGAAAUUGUGGAAUUCUAGCAGCUGAUACCAUACCAACCAUACCAACCAUACAACCAGCCAUUAUGAAGGAGGGCAAUGUACUAGAUAGGAGGCAACAAUUGAAGCUAAUAGAACCUGUUACUGCAGAGAAAAUUCAAAAUGCUCCAAAAGGGAUAGAUGAUCAAAAGGCUCUAGGAUGUGAUGGAUUCAAUUCAAAGUUUUUUGAGAAGACAUGGAGUAUCACAGGUCAAGACAUAUCUAAGGCAGUGCUUCAGUUCUUCAAUACAGCUGAAAUGCAUCUGCCCAUUAAUGUAACAACUAUUACACUGAUACCUAAGGUUCAGCAUCCUUCAACAAUCAAAAGUUCCAGCCUAUUUCUUGCUACACAGUGUUAUACAAGAUUAUUUCUAAAAUUUUGACUAGCAGAUUGCAAGGGGUGAUGGAUCAUUUAGUAGUAAAAAGCCAAUCUGGCUUUGUUCCAGGAAGAGUUAUCACAGACAACAUAGUUCUAAGCCAUGAACUGGUCAAAGGGUACGGGAGGAAGGGCAUCUCACCUAGAUGUAUGAUGAAAAUAGACAUGCAGAAGGCCUAUGACUCCAUUGAGUGGGAAUUCUUAGAACAAGUGCUAAAUAAUUUGAACAUCCCAGAGAAGUUUGUUAGAUGGAUAAUGGUAUGUGUAAAGACAAUAUCCUACUCUAUACUCAUUAAUGGGAAACCUAUGGAACCAUUCAAAGCUAGAAAAGGAUUGAGACAGGGUGAUCCCCUAUCACCAUUUCUUUUGUGCUUGGUAUGGAGUACCUUACAAGGAGUUUCAAGACUUUGAAAUAUAAGCAAGAUUUCAACUUCCAUCCUAGAUGUGAUAAACUAAAUAUCAUUCAACUGGGGUUUGCAGAUGACCUGUUGCUGUUCUGUAGAGGAGAUACUAUUUCUAUCCAAAUGGUAUUCAACUGUUUCAUGGAAUUCUCUAAGGCAUCUGGACUAAAAGCAAGCACAACAAAGAGUUCCAUAUACUUUGGGGGAGUGCCAUAAGAUAUACAUAGAGCAUAGUACAAGUAACUGGUUUUAGCAGGGGAGAGUUGCCUUUCAAGUACCUUGGAGUUCCACUCAGUACUAAGAGGAUUACUAUGAUACAAUGCUAGCCACUCCUGGAGAGAAUAUUAGGAAGAAUUUCCUCCUAGACUUCAAAGUAUAUAUCUUAUGCAGGAAGGUUGCAAUUGAUCAAAACAGUGUUGUUCUCCAUCCAAAUAUACUGGUCGCAGAUAUUUGUAAUUCCUAAGAAGAUGAUGAAGAAGAUAGAAGCAGUUUGUAGAACAUUUCUAUGGACAGGUGGAACAAAUGCUUCAAAAAAAGCUUUGCUAUCAUGGGACAAAGUAUGCUCUCCAAAGACUGCUAGUGGAUAUAAUGUAAUGGAUGUGCUUACAUCGAAUAAAGAUGCAAUUUGCAAUUACUAUGAAAUCUGUGUAAGAAGAAAGACAAAUUGUGGGUUCAGUGGAUUCAUUUGUAUUGUGGAAAGAAACAAGAAGUGUGGGAAACCAAUCCAAGCAAUGCAUCAUGGAUAGUUCAGAAAAUCAUUAAGGCAAAAAGAUAUGUAGAGGCAGCAGGGAUUGAUAUGAAAGAACUGGCAGAAUGGAACUACUUCUCUAUCAAGAAGUGGUACAAAGUCAUGCGAGGACAAUAUCAAAAAGUAUCAUGGAGGAGAUUAACGUGCAACAAUUUAGGGGUUCCAAAAUGGAUCUUUGUGCUGAAUCUAGCUCUGCAAAAUAGACUCCUUACAAGAAGUAGACUCCAUGCAUGGGGAAUUACAAAUGAAGUAAGUUGCCCCUUGUGUACUGAAGAAGAUGAGAUCAUAGAUCAUUUAAUGUUUAAAUGUAGAGUUGCUGGAAGUAUAUGGAGCAAGUUGCUGCAUUGGCAAGGCAUAACAAGACCCUCGAUGGAGUGGCAAAGAGAGGUACAAUAGGCUGAAGACAAAGCAACAGGAAACACUGCAAAAGCUCAAGUAUAUAGGCUGACUUUGGCAGGUGCAGUAUACCAUAUAUGGAGUGAAAGAAACAGGAGAGUAUUUCAAGAGGAGCAGAGGACAAUGAAAGUGAUAGUUAGACAAAUUAUACAAGAAGUUAUAAAUAGGGGAUUAAGAAUCAGAAAGUUAGAGAAGACAAUGGAAGAAAUGAAUUUCUAUCCUUAGUUUGAUAUAGAAGACCUGUAGUAGAAGUUGUGUGGAACUGGGUGUGUCUAGUUUCAGUUUUUGACAUUGUACAUAUUUGCUAUUGGUAAAUAAAAUUAUUUAAUUACCAAAAAAAAAAUUGUGUCUUAGGUAGAUUAAACACUAGGAUUAAGAUAAAAUCAUGGGGUCAGAGCAAAACCUAGGGUUUUGACAAAAGUUAGAUUUAACCACGAAAUUUGUUAUGAAAUGAAUUAGAAAUCAUAUAUUAUUGAUCCUUAGGUUAUAGAGAACAACUUUCUUCGAAAAACUUCGGAAUCCAGGCACGUGGGCCUGGGGUUGGAUUUUAGGAAACUUGUGUUAAGGGCUGGGGAAUUGCUUAAAUAGCUAGAAUACGAUCUUAUAAGCUUAAAUUAACUAGUUCCUACCUCAUUUAACUAGUUUUGGAUCGUUUAGCUCCAAAUUGAGGGUUGGGCUCGUUCUUGGUAUUGGAAGUACACUUUGGAGCGAGGUAAGUCCUUGUAAGAGGGAAUUGUCCCCAUAGGUUUAGUAAUUGAAUAAAUUGCUACUAUAUGCGGGUGCUACGUACGCACUAGGUGACGAGAGUCUAUGCGUAGCUACUAUUAUGCUAAGUCCAAGUAAUUUAGGACCCAAAAGCAUGCUCUAUGUGAUAUUCUUGUAACUUUAUAUUUAAUUCGGAUUUGUAUAAAUCAUGUUGAUUAGGGUAAAUGAGACUGGUGUUGAUACCCAAUUUUUUCCUAUAUAUUUUUCAUAUGCAAAAUAACUUUAAAAUAUCAUAUAUAAGCAUGUUCAAAUAUUUUAUUAUUUUUUUCAUAAUUUUUAAAGGUUUAAAUUGAUUUAUUUUCCCCCUUUUUAUCCAUAAAAUCUCAAUAAUUAUUUUCAAAAUUUAUUAUCUUGAUAAUUCAUCUAUUUGAUUUUUAUAUUUAUGCCAAAAUAUGGCUAAAAUAAUUUUUUUUUACAUAUUUUUACAAUUUCAUUUAGUAUUUUUAAAGCUAAAUUGCACAUAAUUGCAAUAUUAGCCAUUUUAAGGUAGAAUUGUCUUAUAUUCAUAAAAUUGAGUCUUAUAUUUUUAAAUUGUUAUUUAUGUGUUAUAAAUCAUUUUAGUAUUUUCAAUUUAUUUUUAGAAGCUAUUUACUAUUUUUAUAAAUUAAAAAGGGGAAGAAGUGACUAUUUAAAUUUUAGCCCAAAUUGGCUUUCAAAUCUAACCACAAAUCAAAUCCAAUUCCCCAAUACAAUUUUAAUUUUAACCCGACCCUAACCUUUUUAAAACCAACCCAAAGCCGGAUCCCCACUUACCCCUUUUAAUUUAGGUCGUUGAUCACUCAGAUCAACGACAACCGUUUCACCUACCUAAAAUAAACCCAAAUGACCCUUAAACCUAAAUCAUUUCCACCAACCCGCCGCCCUUGAAUUCCCCUCCUCUCCAAUUUUCUCUGCAACCUCACCUAAACCCUAGCCUCUGCCACCCAAAUCCACCUUAAUCCCUUUCAAUCCCUACCCAAUCUAUGGACUCACAUGGUUAUUUGAGAUGUGUACUCAUCUCAUAUGUCUCCUUGUGGCCUAUUUUCGUGAUUCCAUGGAAAGAUCUCAAAGAGAUCUAAUCCAGAUCCUGCUCGAUUUCUGUCUAUGGCCUUUUUCCGGCCACCCAUGGACGAUUGAGUCAGAUCCAUGGCUUUUCCGGCUAGAUCGGUAACUUUUCAAGGUCUUUCUAACUUUUUCUAGGUUCUCUGAAACCCUAGCUUUAAGAGCUUUCUGAUUUUUCUUUCAGAUCUGUCUUAGAUAUGUGCAUGUUAUGAACUUCUUGGUGUUUUCUCAAAGGUUCUUCGAUUUUCUUUCAAAGUGACUCUUCGUUUUCAAAUUAGGGUUUUUUAAACUCUUUUUAAAAAAAGAUCUCUUCUCCAAUUUUCAGUGUUGUUUUACUAUGUUUAAACGAUUUGCUUAUGUUUUUCUUCUAUUUGGUUCAUCGUGUUAAAAUCCUAGGUGUUUCUGGUUUUAUCCGAGUUCUGAAACUAUCUUUGUUUGUUUUGUAUGUAUACUUGUUUCGAUUAAGUUCUUUGUGUUUAGAUUCCCUUUGUUGUUGACUGAUUCAGAGUUCUUACCAUUUUUAACUCGACUAUUAUUAAAACUCUAAUUUCUUAAAAGGUUUUCCUCACUUAUUACUGUGAGUUCUUUACUUGUUUAUGACUUUCUUUACUUGUUUGACCGGUUUCUUCACUUUGGUUCUACGUGUGAGCCAUGACUGCUUGUCCUUGCUGAUUAUCGUGCUUCAAAUAGUCCUUAGCCUAUUCAUGUCACUCCUGUAUGUUUAUGUUCAUAUAGUUUGUUCCCUGUUGUCAAUAUUAUUGACCCUGCAUGUCUAAUACGCCUGUUCAUUCCUUUCUAUUUAUAUGAUGAAGUUCAGAAUCAUGACCACUUCUUGAUUAAUCUUGAUUGCCUUAAGUGACGGUUUAAUUAAAAGGUUUUCUUAUAAACCCUAAUUUUACUUGUUUGUUUAAGUGAUUGAUUCCUUUCUUUAUUUGCUGUGAUAUUUCACCCUGCUGAAUCCUUUCCCCAAUUAAGUAUAUUUUUGUACUUAGACUCAAUUAUUUACUCUAUACUUUUAAUAUCCCCUAUAUGGUCAGAAAUCAAUCUUUCUCAAAUUAGUUUUCUUUCCUUAAUUAUUCCUGUCAGUAUACGUUUGAAUAAUAAUUUCUUAAUUAAAGGAAAGUACUUGUAUUAAAUGAUUCUGAUUGUAAUUAUUUCCAUGUUUGUGUUAAAACUUUACUUGUUACCUUAUUUUUCACUCGUUUUCAAAGCUAUAAAUAUCCUACCCUCUCUUCUCUAAACACGGACAACUGAGUUCAAAGACACACACUCACACACUCAAAACUCUCUCUCUCUCUCUCUCUUUACUACUACUUGUGCUACUGCUUUGUUUAGCCAGUGGAAAGCCAAGACUAGACUGUGGAAUCCUACUUGCUUUACCUUUCUGCACCUUGCUUUCUCUACUGGUAUGUUCUAGUUAAUUUUAAAGCUUCAACAACAACAUGCUUCUUUAAUUGUUUCAGUUUCUCUCAUUCUUGUCUACUUCUGCUUGUGGUUCUGCAGUCAAGUUACAUUACCAACAUGCUAUGAUACUUCCCCUUCCCCUUUAGAUUAAUGCACUCCCCUAUGUGUGUUUCAAGGCAUACUCCGUCAGUCACUUAUUGUGUACUUGCUAUCUUAUAAAUCCCAAACCCUUAUUCCCUUUAUGUGUUUGUGUUCUUUUGGCUGGUUUGUGAUCAUGCCAGUAUCAGCUAUUGCUGUGCAUGUCUAAACCAGACCCCUGCUGGGGUCAUGUGCUUACAGACAAAUGUCUCCCCAAAAUCCCUUGACCCCCUUUUUAUGACUACUGAUUCUGUGUGUAAUCCCAUCUUGGGAGUUAUAGUUUUGUUUACUACUACAACUGCUUUCAAUCACCUCUGUUACUGGUUACUUUCAAAAAUGGACUUGCCAGUCCAGUUUUUAAACAAACUCUUUUUCAAACUAUGUCAAGCACUCUCACCUACUCCUGGAAUUUAGGUUCUGCCCCUUUUGUGUGAGCCUUGCCUUGGGACCCUUGAGCUCCCUCUGAACUUGAACACAUAAGAGCUGGCCCUUCCACACUGCACUCAUUCUGUUUGGUUAUGCAAAUCUGGGUGUGAGCAUUGUCUGGGAUCCCUGAGGUCCUUAGGGAACUCUGACACACCCAGAUAUGAGAAAGGCUUUGGAAUAAUAUCGGCAUUGAGGUGGUUCAUCACAUAAAUCAGAGAGGAAGUCAAGAUCAGACUUCAUAUGGUUGUAAUUUCUUAUUUUGCACUUCUUUUGUAAUUCAAUCAUUUGGUCUAUAAUAAUUUGUAAACAAGUAUGGGGUUGGCUAGUGAAAGGGGAAUGGGUAAAUAUGCACGCUUUAGCUAUCAAAAGGGUAGAAAGCAUGUCACUAGGUUUACAUUCCUACUUGCGCAAUAGAAACCAUGCCUAGGACUCAUUUCAUGCAUUAGAGAUCAUGCUCCUUAGGAUUUACACUUAUUGUUUUCAGUAUGUCCAUUUCACUAUCAUAUCACUUAGAAAUUCCUGCGUUAAAUGUGUUAAUAACCAGUGUUUUCUGUGAUCGCUCUCCUACUGCCAUGCACACUUAAAGAUCCUGUUUUAGGCUAAACAACACUAACCAACAUAUCAUCUCUGCAUAUUCUGGUGAUCAUGUCUAAAUGAUGUAAUGUUUGUGCAUAUAGAAAUCCCGCUUAGGAUUCUGCAUAUACAUCACUCUGCAAAUUAGAUACCAUGUCUUUAGGAUUUCAUUUAUAUUCGCUUGAGCACACUUAGGUUAAUUAUGAGAGCAUAAAUAAAACAACUUUACUUAGUCUUUAUAACCAACUGGCAAUAAUUUUAUGUGCUGAACACCUAGAACAACAUGUCUUAGGUAAUAAUAUGCUCCAAACUGUCUUAGUAAUUCUGAAUAACUACUGAGUACCGCUUCCACCUAGGCAAGCCUUAGGUAAUUACUUAAACCAAAACUGGAACUGUCGUCGUAUAAAUAUCAACCGCUACAACCAGCAGGCAGGCCUGAUUCGGAUUUCUUUUCUGAGUUAUCUAAUGAAUCUGGUUCUAACUUAAACAUCUUACUUAGGAUUUAAAAUUCAGACCUUAACUAUGUAUGAGUUGUGGUGUCUAUGUGCACUGCUUGCGGAGGUAUAACUGAGCCUUCUGUUCGCUUAUAUGUCUCCCUUUAAAUACAAUUCUACUUGUUUUGUAUGUCGCCUUAGUAUUUUACCUUUAAACCUAAGAGUCAGCCUCCUCCUUCUUAUAGGAUUAGGAGUCCUAAAUUCCUCCGGGACUAAUAGGAACGGGACGGGUAACAGCAUGCAAUAGAGGUCGAGACCAACCCUCGCUUUAAUUACCUUAACGGGGCGGGAAAGGGUAGAUAUAUGAUGACCGGUGCGCUAAUACCACGUGUAUCCCCUUUUCUGAGGAGUGUCAUACCAGGUAUCGCGUUGACGUGAUCUAUAUUACAAACAAACCUAGGACACCCCUUUAUUUUUAUAAGUAUGCUUAGACUAUAACUCUUUUCAAAACCUUGCUUUUAUGGUUUUCAUCAAACACUUGUGUAUUUAAACUCAAAAUCCAUAUUACUUGAGCCUUAUUUGUUUACUUGCUAAUUGCACAAAUUCACAAAAACUAUCUGACCGGGAACCACACUAGUGGAUCCUGAGGGGUGCCUAACACCUUCCCCUUAGGAUAAUUUCAAACCCUUACCCUAUCUCUGGUUGUCAAACAUAGUUGUAGUUGAACCUUAUAGGUGCCCUAACGCACCUUAAAAUCGUUAGGUGGCGACUCUUCAAGUACCCAAUUCCCAAAAGGGAAAUGAGUCAUCACACCCCAUAAAUGUUGAAACCCGGAACUUCUCUCCGAUGGAAGGGUAAAAAAAGGGGGCGCGACAACUAGUAAGAGGAACAUUAUCUUUCUUGGCCGUUUAAAGAGAAAUUGAUUAUUUAUGUGAGUAACUGCUUCCUUGACAUACACUAUUGUCUACUUGUUGUUGUGUUUAUUUAUAUUUGACCGCGUCACAUGUUUGAUUCGCGAGUGGGGUAAUAGAUGCAUCUAUGGUUCGUGCCGUUCGACCCUCGGCAGUGCACAAUUUAUUUUUAUGUUGGAUUGGGCCGUACGACCCUCGACACUACUUGCGCAUGCUUCACUUAGAAUUUUUCUGUCGACUGAACUUCGUAUAUGCCUUGAAAUGUAAAUGGUUAACCAUGAUAUUAUCUGGAAAGAGGAACUAUUAUUUCUUGCCUUGAAAUGCUAAAUAAAUUGUACUAUCCAUGCUUAGUAUAAAUUCUUUCUCAUAUUGUUUGACCCUAGUAAGUAUCAAGUUGACCUCUCGUCUCUACUUCUUCGAGAUUAGACGGGAUACUUAUUGGGUACAUAUUAUUUAUGUUCUCAUAAUACACUUCUGUACUUAAUUGUAUAGGAUCUGAGGCAGCUACCUAUGGCUAUCAGUCUGGUGCGUAUCCCUGAGCAAAUUUCGAGACUUCUACGGUGAGCUGCUUCCGUUCCUGUACCGUUCAGCAGCUUGAUGAAGUCUCACUUAUUUAUUUUGAUGUAUAUUCUAUUUCGGACAGUAGGAUAGAUUGAUUCUUUUGUAUACUCUACUAGUUGCCCACAACUUGUGACACCGGGUCUUGGCACACACAUUAAUAGACUAUUCUUUUGGAAAUUGUAUAAUUAUUUUUGGUACUUUACUGGUUAUUACUCGUUCUAUCUUAACUUAAGGAAUUAUUGAAAUUGUUUGGUAAAAGUAAAAUGAGAACUCAUUUGGUAUUUUCCGUGUUGGCUUGCCCGACAAUGGUGUUGGGAGCCAUCAUGACCUAUUAUGGAAAUGGGUCGUGACAAUAUACCUAAAGACCUUGUGACUAAAAUCUAUUUUACCUACCUUAACUUAAGGACUUCAGUGUAUUCAACACAAAUAUCAAUAUAAGACAUCAUAUCCACAUCAUAUCCUUGCAACACAUGAUUCAGAUUUUUAAUGUAAAUCACAUGAGGCUUCAAUACCUAUCUGCCCCUAUAAUUAAAGACCAAGUCUACCUUCUCAAGCAUUCUACAAAAAAAGUCAUAUACAAGUCAUACAAUAAUAAGAUACCCAUCCGACAUAUAAAAACAGAAAAAUAAAAGACAAACUAACAUUCUUUAUUGACCCUAAAAAACAAACAAUAAAAAAAGGCAAGGGUCCACAUGCAACCACCAAGGAGAUAACAAACAAAAAGCUAAAAUAGAUAUCUGGAAUUAACCACAUAUGAGACCCCAUACGAAUAAAUACAGAAGAAAUCAAUUCCCCAAACCCUACCAGAAACAUAAAAUAUGCAUGGACCACAUGCAACCAAUAAACUGCUAUAUAACAUAAAAGAUUCAAAUUGGGACCACAUAAAAAUAAAGAAACCAUAGACCAUUCCUUAAACCCUAAAUUUUGGACAACACAAAAUAAAUUGGGACCACAUGCAAUGUGAAAUUGAUUAAACAAAGGAAUCAAAGCAUGGAAGAAAUAAGUGAAUAUUCUUAAAACCUCAAAAGCAACAAAAGUUGACAGAUUCAAGAAAACCCUAAACAUAUUUUAUUCACAAAAGUAAUAGAAUCUUACGUGAAUGAGAGAAAAUCUUGUAUUUUAACUUCAUUGCUUCAACUUUGACAAAUAUUUUACUACUCAAUCUCUAUAAAGUACAAACAUUUUUGGGAUUAUGAAAUUGCCCAAACACGAGAGAAGAAGAUGGCUGAGUAGAAUAAAGGUUAGAGUGGGUGAAAUCUGUGUUUUAUUUGUUUACGGGUCGGAGCGGGUGGUUUUUUUAGGGGUGGGUAAGGUUCACCAGAUCGGGUAUGUAAAAGGGGUCAUUUGUUUUAAAAUAGGCCAAUGAGAUAUUGCCACGUAAUUAGUAAUAACCUAUCUUUUUUAAAAAAUAUGACCCGUUAGUUGGAGUGGCAUGUAAGGUCCAGGAAAAUAACUUUAGGGAUACCAAUGGCCCAAUAAGUGGACGAAGGGUAUUUUUAACCCUAAAACUAUAGUUCAGGGUCAGUUCUGGCCCUUUUCCGUAUAUAUUUCGGUAUUUAUUCUUUUCCUUCUAUUUGAUCGUAAAAGAAUAAUAUUAAUCGUCUUGAUGAAGUCUAAAAGCAAGAACAAAAAUAGAGUUACAAGUUUAUUUUGGGAAAGGUGUAAAGAUCUUAAGGUUAUGUAUUAUAAUUGAUUUCCGUAUCAUUAUUUGAUGUUAUUGAGUGUAGGGCUGUGCAUUUGGAUCGGAUNNNNNNNNNNNNNNNNNNNNNNNNNGAUCCGACAAUCCGAAAAAUUAUCCGAUCCAAAAUUUAAAAUCCGAUCCAAUCCAAUGUUAAUUCGGAUCGGAUUCGGAUUGCCCUUUUCAGAAUUCGAAAUCCGAAAUCCGAAUCCGAAAUAGGCUAAAUCCGAUCCAAUCCGAUCUGUGCACAGCCCUAAUUGAGUGGAUUUUGGUUAGAUUCGAUUGGUUUGGACGCGGAUUUUAGAAGAAAAGCUCUGGUAGAGCUUUGAUUUGCAUGCAGAGCGAGGUAAGUGUUGGGUCUAACCUUGAUUUGAGGAAAUUAGGAACCCUUGAGCUAUGUGCUAUGUGAAUUACAUGUAUAGCGGCGUAUAUGCAAGGUGACAAGUGUAUAUAUGCCGUCAAAAUACUUGCUUUCAUGCUUUUCUAUUUUCAUUAAUUAUUUUAUUCUAUUCUUAGCUGUCACAUGCUUUAAUUGCUUCAUAUGCCUUAACUUGCUACUUGCCAUUUAUUAUUCUGGUAUUAUAAUAAUAGGUUCUUCCAUGCUUUCAUGAUUUAAUUGCUACUUGCCUUAAUUGCCUUACUUGUAUACUUUAACUAUCAUAUAUUCGGAUUGUCUUGUUGCUUAUUGUAAAUUGUUGCACUUCUUGAUUCGGUACGAGAUUUCCUUUAUGGCUUUGCUUUCCUAUUCCUCAUUCGUAGAUCUUCUUGUGAAUUGAGUUGCGAAAUUUAUUACAUUUACUGAUUUUUGCUUAUGGAUCGGGUUGCAUGCCACAACAUGUGGAAUAAGGGAGGAUUGACAUGGUUAAAUAAGGGAGAAUUAUGAUAUUGACUCUAAUUAUAUGGUGGGAUUUGGUUGUGUGCCGCAACAUAUUUUGCUUGUUAUUAUUGAUAUUUACAUGGUGGAAUAAGGGAGGAUCGUAUUUGUACCAUGGGACCGGGUUUCGCGCCGCAACGGUUUAUGUGUUUUAUAUUCCUUAUUGUAUUGUGUUGGUUUCAGUGUUUUUGUACGAGACCUUGAGGAUUGGUAUUUCUGAUUUUACUGUUUUUCAAGGAUUGAGUUAUUUUCGUGAGUUAACUGCCUUAUUUUUCUGUUUUUCCCUUUCUUGUCAUUAUUAUUAUAUUGUGGACAGGUUAUUGUAAGUGACCCGCCUUAGCCUCAUCACUACUUCGUCGAGGUUAGCCUCGAUGCUUACAGAGUACAUGAGGUCAGUUGUACUCAUAUUACACUCUGCACUUCUUGUGCAGAUUUUGGAGUCGGUCCCUGCGGCGGUCAAUAGAUUGCUCGGGUUGACUAUCGGACGGAGACUUGAGGUACAAUUGUUUGGCAUUUGCAGCCCUGAAGUCCCCUUCUACCUUAUCCUAGAUGUGUAUUCUUUUCAGACAGUUUUACAUUCAUUCGGACCAUUAUCUGUAUUAUUCUAGUAGCUCGUGCACUUACGACACCAGAUCUAGAGUUGUAUUUUGAUAUUUAAGUUGUUAUGACUUUUCGCACUUUAUUUCAGUCAUUUCAGUUUAAUUGGCAUCACUUAAUUUGAUUUGUUGAAAAUGUCUUAAAACUAUUCUAGCGUUGGCUUGCCUAACAAGUGAAAUGUGCCGGAGAGAAUACAUCAAUAUAUGGAAAGCCAAACAUGUAGUGGACAAAUUCCUAUGACAAUUCACGGCUCAUCUGCCAUUGCAUCCAACUAUUUUUAUCUAAUUAGGUGCUUAAAUCUUGAUCAUUAGCAUUAGUGAUAGUAUAUCAUAAACACAUCACCAGUGUACGAUUUGCUAAACGAGAAUUGUUGAACGUCAAUUAACAGAUCAAUCCAACCACUGAAAUUUCAACUAUGUAAUAACCGUCCAAUCAUUAUGUCAGGGGCUUUUUAAUUGGCAAGACGUACUCACAAAAAUAACAUAACUGAACAAGAAAACUACAGAUCUAUCAAACCACGAAAAUAGCAAACCAAUUAAAAUAAAAGUGGAAAACGGAAUAUAAAGGAUUUAAAGACAUUUUACCUUCAAACCCAUGUCUGAUCUAAUUUGCUUGAUAACAAAAUUAAAACCGAGAAAGUAUAUCUAUGAUAUAUCAUUUAUUAGGUAAAUAUGUACGAAUCGAUUAAUGUUCCAGUUUUUAUAUAUUUUUGACAUAUUCAAAUUUUGAUAUAACACAUCAUGUACGCAAAAGAUCUUAAUCAAUCUAAACCCACGAUAUUGAUGUAUUCAGAAUUUUAAAAAUGAAUUACAUGACAAAUGAGUCUUCAUCCGUAUAUGUGGAAUAUUAAUAAUUUAGGGUUUCGAGCUAGUUCCUUUAUUACCGUCCUAUUACAGGCUUUUGUUCACUCUUGUCAUAAAGAUCAGAAAAUUUUAUGGGAAAUGAAAUGAGGAAAAAUAGAUGAAAAGCGGGGGAAAAAAAAAGGUUCCCAACAAUAUAAGAAACCCUAAAGGAUGGUGAAAACCAAUAGAUCAUCACCUAUAGUUGAUAAACUUCUCAUUUAAAGGCCUUAGGUAUCUAAUGGUAAUAAAAGAGAAAUAUUUUACGAUCUCUAUUUCAAUAUAUGUGACGUAAUUUGUCGAAAUUUAAGAAAAAUAAAUUUAUGAUUCUUGGGUCUUCGACAUAUUUUAAAAUAUUUGUGUGUCUUUAAGACUUUUCAAACCUGUAAUUUUAAACUUGCGUAAUAUUGUAUAGUUAUAAAAAAUUUCUUAUUAAGGGUAAAAUGAGAAGUUUAAAGUUAAAUACUUUUAAAUGUAGAAUUGUGUCAUUUUAUCUAAAAAUAGACUAUCUGAAAAUUCAAAUUAUUUACCCUUAAACUGUAAAGUUCUUUUUAUAAGGUUAUCAAUUACUAAUAUAUGUUAAAAUUUACCUGUAAUUUUCUUGUAAAUAACAUGAUUAAAAAAAUUAAAAUUAAGAAUGCAUAGAAUUUAAACCCACAAAAGAAUAUUGUAAGAUAACUGCAACAUGGAGUAAAAUGCGUAGGUAGUGAUGAGUUUAAGGGGCGGAAAAAUACCUGAAAGUCGUUAUUGGCGAUCAUUCUAAUAGUGCAAAAAACAGUAGCAACAAAACACAUGACCAUUCGAAUCUCCAAUACCAAUAUAGCAGUAAUAGCUUGUUUUGUCUUCAAGUAAAUCAACUCAAUUCAAGGCAAAAUAACUCCAUAUAAAGUUGUUGCCAAAAGUAUCAUCAUAAAACCAAGAAUAUAGGCUUUACUUGUCACACCUUCUGGUCGAUCACCAUUAGAUCGAACAUCUAAUAAAACAACACCAACUGUCAGCAGAACCACUGCAUUGAUAGAGUAGGGUGUGAAUUUCAGCUUCACUAUGAAGAAAGCACCUAUUGCCGUGAAGGCAAAUUGAGCAGCAAGAAGAAGUGAAGAGGUUGACACAGGAAGUUUUGAACCACCCCAAGAAUAGAGAAAAUCAUCAACACCGGUGACAACGCCAAUGGCGAAUGAUUCGAUAAAAAUUCAGGGUGUUAUAAAGUAUAACUUGGCAUUAGAGCCUUCGGUUUUUCGGCGAUAGAAGUAUAGGAUGGCAAAAGGUACAAGGGUGAAUGGCCAUCCAGCAGUUUGUAACCAACUGCUAAACCAUACUCUUGAACCGCCUUCGACAUAAUAUAGACGCAUCAUUAGAGGACCACCGCAGAUACCUUCAGCAAAUAUUAUUAUUAGAGGACCACCGCAGAUACCAACAUCAAAUAUUAAACAGUUAAUGAGCAGGAGGAUUCUCCUCAUCGUGGUACUUUUUUUCAAGCGAUUUGGAUACUAAGUUGGAGUAGUAUGCUGCUCAGGUAGAAUGGUCUUCUUCUUCUACUAAUGUUUGGGUUUUUGGAUCUGCAACCUGCGCCUAUUUAUAAUUGAGAAACAUUUUAGUCAUUCCCAUGUUUUGUUUCACGACAUGGAGUGGCC
RNAcentral lists this long non-coding RNA (25558 nucleotides) under Nicotiana tabacum (common tobacco). RNAcentral describes it as "long non-coding RNA (NTAB_LNC004027)". Lineage: Eukaryota; Viridiplantae; Streptophyta; Magnoliopsida; Solanales; Solanaceae. The record is from RNAcentral.